GUAAGCGCAUCGGAAACUACAAUGAAAACAUGGAAACAAGCGGUUUUAGAUUGCUAUGGGAAUAACUCGUUUUUGGAAAGCAACACGACUGUUCUUAAACAGUACAUGGUCAAUCAUACUAAAGUAAAUGAUAGUAUUUGGGUUGGAAGCUUUCAAGCUUUACUUCCUUGGAUUGAAAUAAGAGGUAGGUAAUUCAUACACUAUUCUAAAGUGUCGGUUGAUUUAUUUUACUAAGGGAAAACUUUUUUUUUAUAUUUUUUUCCAUUCUGGUAACAUAGGUGUUUCAGACUCGAGCAAGAAAUGGAAAGGAAAUUGGGCUUGACUUUGGUAUUUGAAUAGCGAAUGAUAAUGCUUUACAUAUAUUUACAGUAGAAUAUAUACAUAUAUACGUAAAAUUGACAAAAAAAUCCGAUUGAUUGGUUGUUCUCUUGUGCAAUUAUUUUCUAAAUUUUCGCAUACAAGAAUGUGUUCCAUAAAAUCCAUAUUUAUUAGUAUUAUUGAUAUUGUUACAUUAAGGGAUACACUAUUCAAUUUUAUCACACCAUCUAGCUACAAGACAUUGUCAUUUGAAAAAAUGAAUAUAAGUUUGAAGCCAUAUACAACAUGCAAGCAAACCUCGGAUUCGUAGUCCUGUUUUGAUUAUGAUGUUGUGUCCCUGCUAGUUGUGUUGUUUAUUCAGCAAUUGUAUUUGUUCUUGAACGUUCAAAUAUGUUUGUCCAAAAACAUUACUGAAGAGGCAGUUCUUGUCGGAACGUGCAUCUGGUGUUGUAAUAUGUUUUGUAUUUGUACUAAACUUUUCAUUUUUUUUUAAAUUUUAUUUCAUAAUUAGUAUUUACGCAUUAAUAAAAGAAUGCAAAUAUGUUUCAAUCAUUCAUGUCUGUGAUUUUUUUUAAAUUUUAAAAUGUAAUCAUUUGUACAAACAUCAUAUCCAUAUCCACAGGCAUAUGUCUGCUUUAGCUUUCAUUUUAUUUCUUUUAAUAAAAGGGUGUUACAAUAUACCACUUACAUGCAACAGCUUAGAGAGAGAUCACACAAAUGCUGCAAAUUUACAACUGUGUCAACUCAAAUGCAUGAAAAGACGA
This 1082-nucleotide long non-coding RNA is filed under the name Mytilus galloprovincialis (Mediterranean mussel). Lineage: Eukaryota; Metazoa; Mollusca; Bivalvia; Mytilida; Mytilidae. The record is from RNAcentral.